UGGGGAAUUUUGGACAAUGGGCGAAAGCCUGAUCCAGCAAUGCCGCGUGUGUGAAGAAGGCCUUCGGGUUGUAAAGCACUUUUGUCCGGAAAGAAAUCCUUGGUUCUAAUAUAGCCGGGGGAUGACGGUACCGGAAGAAUAAGCACCGGCUAACUACGUGCCAGCAGCCGCGGUAAUACGUAGGGUGCGAGCGUUAAUCGGAAUUACUGGGCGUAAAGCGUGCGCAGGCGGUUUGCUAAGACCGAUGUGAAAUCCCCGGGCUCAACCUGGGAACUGCAUUGGUGACUGGCAGGCUAGAGUAUGGCAGAGGGGGGUAGAAUUCCACGUGUAGCAGUGAAAUGCGUAGAGAUGUGGAGGAAUACCGAUGGCGAAGGCAGCCCCCUGGGCCAAUACUGACGCUCAUGCACGAAAGCGUGGGGAGCAAACAGGAUUAGAUACCCCUGGUAGUCCACGCCCUAAACGAUGUCAACUGUUGUUGGGGAUUCAUUUCCUUAGUAACGUAGCUAACGCGUGAAGUUGACCGCCUGGGGAGUACGGUCGCAAGAUUAAAACUUAAAGGAAUUGACGGGGUCAUAGCUGUUUCCU
This 585-nucleotide ribosomal RNA is filed under the name uncultured bacterium. RNAcentral describes it as "partial 16S ribosomal RNA". It matches the Rfam family "Bacterial small subunit ribosomal RNA", at positions 355 to 1375 of the family's 1533-position model. The record is from RNAcentral.